CAUGCAAGUCGAGCGAACAGACGAGGAGCUUGCUCCUCUGACGUUAGCGGCGGACGGGUGAGUAACACGUGGAUAACCUACCUAUAAGACUGGGAUAACUUCGGGAAACCGGAGCUAAUACCGGAUAAUAUAUUGAACCGCAUGGUUCAAUAGUGAAAGACGGUUUUGCUGUCACUUAUAGAUGGAUCCGCGCCGCAUUAGCUAGUUGGUAAGGUAACGGCUUACCAAGGCAACGAUGCGUAGCCGACCUGAGAGGGUGAUCGGCCACACUGGAACUGAGACACGGUCCAGACUCCUACGGGAGGCAGCAGUAGGGAAUCUUCCGCAAUGGGCGAAAGCCUGACGGAGCAACGCCGCGUGAGUGAUGAAGGUCUUCGGAUCGUAAAACUCUGUUAUUAGGGAAGAACAAAUGUGUAAGUAACUAUGCACGUCUUGACGGUACCUAAUCAGAAAGCCACGGCUAACUACGUGCCAGCAGCCGCGGUAAUACGUAGGUGGCAAGCGUUAUCCGGAAUUAUUGGGCGUAAAGCGCGCGUAGGCGGUUUUUUAAGUCUGAUGUGAAAGCCCACGGCUCAACCGUGGAGGGUCAUUGGAAACUGGAAAACUUGAGUGCAGAAGAGGAAAGUGGAAUUCCAUGUGUAGCGGUGAAAUGCGCAGAGAUAUGGAGGAACACCAGUGGCGAAGGCGACUUUCUGGUCUGUAACUGACGCUGAUGUGCGAAAGCGUG
RNAcentral lists this ribosomal RNA (727 nucleotides) under uncultured Staphylococcus sp. RNAcentral describes it as "bacterial SSU rRNA". It matches the Rfam family "Bacterial small subunit ribosomal RNA", at positions 54 to 763 of the family's 1533-position model. The record is from RNAcentral. Lineage: Bacteria; Bacillati; Bacillota; Bacilli; Caryophanales; Staphylococcaceae.